Molecule: ribosomal RNA, 465 nt
Filed under: Vreelandella stevensii
Lineage: Bacteria; Pseudomonadati; Pseudomonadota; Gammaproteobacteria; Oceanospirillales; Halomonadaceae
Description: partial 16S ribosomal RNA
Rfam family: Bacterial small subunit ribosomal RNA
Source: RNAcentral
CCUACGGGUGGCUGCAGUGGGGAAUAUUGGACAAUGGGGGGAACCCUGAUCCAGCCAUGCCGCGUGUGUGAAGAAGGCCCUCGGGUUGUAAAGCACUUUCAGUGAGGAAGAACGCCUGGUGGUUAAUACCCAUCAGGAAAGACAUCACUCACAGAAGAAGCACCGGCUAACUCCGUGCCAGCAGCCGCGGUAAUACGGAGGGUGCGAGCGUUAAUCGGAAUUACUGGGCGUAAAGCGCGCGUAGGUGGCUUGAUAAGCCGGUUGUGAAAGCCCCGGGCUCAACCUGGGAACGGCAUCUGGAACUGUCAAGCUAGAGUGCAGGAGAGGAAGGUAGAAUUCCCGGUGUAGCGGUGAAAUGCGUAGAGAUCGGGAGGAAUACCAGUGGCGAAGGCGGCCUUCUGGACUGACACUGACACUGAGGUGCGAAAGCGUGGGUAGCAAACAGGAUUAGAUACCCUUGUAGUC